AAGAUCUUAGCUUAAUGAAAGUGUCUGGGUUGCAUUCAGAAGAUGUAGGUUAACAUCAUACAGAUCUUA
Molecule: transfer RNA, 69 nt
Filed under: Amazona aestiva (blue-fronted amazon)
Lineage: Eukaryota; Metazoa; Chordata; Aves; Psittaciformes; Psittacidae
Also listed under: 1 other name
Rfam family: tRNA
About the family: Transfer RNA (tRNA) molecules are approximately 80 nucleotides in length. Their secondary structure includes four short double-helical elements and three loops (D, anti-codon, and T loops).
Source: Rfam by way of RNAcentral